UGGGGAAUCUUCCGCAAUGGACGAAAGUCUGACGGAGCAACGCCGCGUGAGUGAAGAAGGUUUUCGGAUCGUAAAACUCUGUCUUUUGGGGCGAACGUGAGUAUGGUGAACAAUCAUAGUCAGUGACGGUACCAAAGGAGGAAGCCACGGCUAACUACGUGCCAGCAGCCGCGGUAAUACGUAGGUGGCAAGCGUUGUCCGGAAUUAUUGGGCGUAAAGAGCGCGUAGGCGGGAUAGUCAGUCUGUUGUAAAGUGCGGGGCUCAACCCCGUGAUGGCAAUGGAAACAGCUAUUCUUGAGUGCAGGAGAGGAAAGUGGAAUUCCCAGUGUAGCGGUGAAAUGCGUAGAUAUUGGGAGGAACACCAGUGGCGAAGGCGACUUUCUGGACUGUGUCUGACGCUGAGGCGCGAAAGCCAGGGGGAGCGAACGGGAUUAGAUACCCCGGUAGUCCUGGCCGUAAACGAUGGGUACUAGGUGUGGGAGGUAUCGACCCCUUCCGUGCCGGAGUUAACGCAAUAAGUACCCCCGCCUGGGGAGUACGGUCGCAAGACUGAAACUCAAAGGAAUUGAC
RNAcentral lists this ribosomal RNA (570 nucleotides) under uncultured bacterium. RNAcentral's name for it is "partial 16S ribosomal RNA". It matches the Rfam family "Bacterial small subunit ribosomal RNA", at positions 355 to 914 of the family's 1533-position model. The record is from RNAcentral.